UAUUCUCGUGUGGAAGUAAUUUUGGGUACAACCCCAGUAUCGAUCUAUCCCCUAUAAUUUUAUGUACUUCGUACAUUACUGCUAGCCCCCAUGGAUAUUGUACA
This 104-nucleotide non-coding RNA is filed under the name Hoolock hoolock (hoolock gibbon). RNAcentral describes it as "Bunopithecus hoolock (Hoolock gibbon) Mitochondrial DNA control region secondary structure A". It matches the Rfam family "Mitochondrial DNA control region secondary structure A". Lineage: Eukaryota; Metazoa; Chordata; Mammalia; Primates; Hylobatidae. The record is from Rfam by way of RNAcentral.